Molecule: ribosomal RNA, 264 nt
Filed under: uncultured bacterium
Lineage: Bacteria
Description: partial 16S ribosomal RNA
Rfam family: Bacterial small subunit ribosomal RNA
Source: RNAcentral
GUCCACGCCGUAAACGAUGGGUGCUAGGUGUGGGGGUGUCGACUCCCUCCGUGCCGAAGCUAACGCAUUAAGCACCCCGCCUGGGGAGGUACGGCCGCAAGGCUAAAACUCAAAGGAAUUGACGGGGGCCCCGCACAAGCAGCGGAGCAUGUGGUUUAAUUGGACGCGACGCCAAGAACCUUACCAAGGCUUGACAUGACCGAGAAAAGCGUGGAAACACGUUCCUCCUUCGGGACUCGGCCACAGGUGGUGCAUGGCUGUCGU